UAAAAAGGGGGCUAGCGUUGUUCGGAAUCACUGGGCGUAAAGCGCACGUAGGCGGCGCGUUAAGUCAGGGGUGAAAUCCUGGAGCUCAACUCCAGAACUGCCUUUGAUACUGGCGUGCUCGAGUGUGGGAGAGGUUGGUGGAACUCCGAGUGUAGAGGUGAACUUCGUAGAUAUUCGGAAGAACACCAGUGGCGAAAGUGGCCAACUGGCCCAUUACUGACGAUGAGUUGUGAUAGCGUGGGGAGCAAACAGG
Molecule: ribosomal RNA, 253 nt
Filed under: uncultured bacterium
Lineage: Bacteria
Description: partial 16S ribosomal RNA
Rfam family: Bacterial small subunit ribosomal RNA
Source: RNAcentral